AGGCGCGCUUGCUCUGUUUCCCCCAAAAUCGACCGCUGCUUUUCCCCCAAAUUAGGCGGGUCGCCAAAAUCCUCGGUGCCCGUCCACCACUCGUACGCAAUCCCACUCCCCAUCUCCUCGCUCCCCUCCCCCGCCCACUUCACCGCCGGCGACCGCGACGGCUCAUCUCCUCCCUCCUACAUCACCGCCGCCUGCAACCACCGGCGACCUUUCUCAUGGGCUCAACCCUAUCCCCCACCCUCCCCUCACGUUCUCUCCCAGAUCGGAUCGGAUCGAGAAUCAGCAGGUUAGCCGGUGGCCAGAUUCGCGGCGGUCCGUCUCUCGGGCCUCUUUUUUAUGCUCCUAGAUCAGAUCGAGCAGCAGGUCCAUUGUUUAUUUAGUAGGCCAUGGAGUUGUUGACUCCAUUGUUGAUUUAACAGACUAGUCCAUUGUUCAUUCGAUUUCACAGGCCAUGGAGUUGGUGAAGUUGUCCCUCCUUCGUCAACUUGGUUAGAGGUCCAAGUUCGAGGGACCUGACGAGAAAGAGGACAAGGACCACCGGGAACCAAGACCUCCAUAUAGCCAUGGCAAUAGCCGCACCUUCCCCUUCCACAAGGUCUUCUCCUCCCCGCAACAUGCAUCUCUCUCUGUUCGUGGUGUACAAAUUCUUGAUUUUUUGUUCUAUGGUUAGAGUAAGUCAGUAGAAAAGUUUGACACUUGAUGAAAUUCCAUGGUGAUUAGGUAUAGGAAUCCAUCCUAGGAAAUAUGAGAGCAAAGCUGCCUAUAUUGACGAAAUUCUUGAUUGUUGGAUCACGAGGAUCUAGGAUCUCUCUCUAUCGACAAAUCUGACUUGUUAGAUAGCACUUUCACUUAUAAGUACAGACAGAUGAAUUUGCAUCACUUUUUGUUCGGCAUGUGAAGACUGAGACGAGCAGACCCAUUUGUAAACAUCACUCAUGCAGAUUUGUUCCUAGUGUAGAUUUGGACACAAUCCCUCUUGACUUUGAGGUUUUUUCCCAUGUAAUCGCUACUCCGUUCGAAGCUAUUUUCUAUUCUGGUUGUGAAACCAAACUAUGGUGACGAGGUCCCUCUUGGGUUUGGUUUACUCUGAGGUUGUGCACCACGAUUCUAGGUUCUUGUGUAGUGGUAUGACCAAAUUCUGCAAUUCAUAUCAUAUCUUGUUCUAGAUGAUGCGUUUAUGGUUGAUGCUUAUGCUCAUGAAUGGCAUUUCAUUUUGCACCUGAUCUAGCUCACUGUCAUUGUUCCCUAAAAUUGCUACUGGAUAUACAUUGUUUGGUUAGUGCUUCCUUUCUUUGUGGACUAAAUUGGAUGAAGAAAAUGUGUUGAUUUUCUAUGGUAAAAGGUUGCUACCUUGCCCUAGAUGCCUACAUUACUAGUUAUGCUCUUUUCAUCUACAAAUAAAUUAUCACACUAGACUACCCUCUUAUUGCUCAUGUGGUCUUUUUUGGGAAGCCCAGUCCUGCUUUAUAAAUAACGUAUCACACCUCACUGCCCUGUUUAUUUUGUAGCUCACCAUUUGCUGUUGUACAUGCUGAUUGUAGUCAAUCUGUUGGAUUCCUCGACCUAGUUACAUCACAUAUUUUAAAAUCGAGGUGCUAGUCUUUUUCAUAAAUUUGUUUAUAGGCUAUUCUUGUAAGUACCAAAAUCUGAUAAUACAUAUGUUUGUGUGGCGUUGGCUGUGUGGUCAUUUGUUACUCAUUUUUUCUCCAUGACCGGUUCAGCUUAUGCAAGGGUAAUUGUAGUUAUGUAUAUUCACCACUUUUGCUACAGCCAAGUGAAGUAAUUGAUUGUUUCCUCAUGCAGGUGUAGUAGGUGUUCAUGGAAAAAGACAGAAAUUUUUAGGAGAUGAGGAGUUACUGAAACAUUGGCUGCAGUGCAAGGCCUCAAUGUGGCCAAAUCAACUCAAUGGUAUGUUGUGCUGGGCACUCAAUCAUUAUGUGAAGAGUUGUGAGUUUGCACUGCUACUAUUUGAAGAAACUGUAAAUUUUGAGACUUUAGUUGCUAGGGACGGAAAGCUGGAUGUCUGGUGUAUGUUUAGUACAGGUAGAAAUUUUCUACCCUACCACUUGUUGUCGUACAUGCUGGUUCUAGUUCAUGUGUUGGAUGCCUCAGACCUAGUUACAUAAUGAUACGUCUCCAACGUAUCUACUUUUCCAAACACUUUUGCCCUUGUUUUGGACUCUAACUUGCAUGAUUUGAAUGGAACUAAUCUGGACUAACGCUAUUUUCAGCAGAACUACCAUGGUGUUAUUUAUGUGUAGAAGGAAACGUUCUCAGAAUGACCUAAAACUUCACGGAGACAUUUUUCAGAAAAUAAGAAAAAUACCUUCCAAAGAUGAAGGCCAGGGGGGCCACCACCUUGCCAUGAGGGUGGGGGGCGUGCCUCCCCCCUAGGGCGCGCCUCCCUACCUCGUGGGCCCCCUAUUGCCUCUCCGACUCCAACUCCACCUUCAUAUAUUGAGUUUUAGGGAGAAACAAAUCAGAGAGAAGAAAUCAUCGCAUUUUACGAUACGGAGCCACCGCCAAUCCCUAAAACCUCUCGGGAGGGCUGAUCUGGAGUCCGUUCGGGGCUCCGGAGAGGGGAAUCUGUCGCCAUCGUCAUCAUCAACCAUCCUCCAUCACCAAUAUCAUGAUGCUCACCGCCGUGUGUGAGUAAUUCUAUCGCAGACUUGCUGGACGGUGAUGGGUUGGAUGGGAUCUAUCAUGUAAUCGAGUUAGUUUUGUUAGGGUUUGAUCCCUAGUGUCCACUAUGUUUUGAGAUUGAUGUUGCUAUGACUUUGCUAUGCUUAAUGCUUGUCACUAGGGCUUGAGUGCCAUGAUUUCAGAUAUGAACCUAUUAUGUUUUCAUCAAUAUAUGAGUGUUCUUGAUCGUAUCUUGCAAGUCUAUAGUCACCUUUUAUGUGUUAUGAUCCGUUAACCCCGAAGUGACAAUAAUCGGGAUACUUACCGGUGAUGACCGUAGUUUGAGGAGUUCAUGUAUUCACUAUUUGUUAAUGCUUUGUUCUGGUUCUCUAUUAAAAGUAGGCCUUAAUAUCCCUUAGUUUCCGUAAGGACCCCGCUGCCAGGGGAGGGUAGGCCAAAAGAUGUCAUGCAAGUUCUCGUCCAUAAGCAUGUAUGACUAUAUUCGGAAUACGUGCCUACAUUAUAUCAAUGAACCGGAGCUAGUUCUGUGUCACCCUAGGUUAUGACUGUUACAUGAUGAACCGCAUCCGACAUAAUUCUCCAUCACUGAUCCAUUGCCUACGAGCUUUCCAUAUAUUGUUCUUCGCUUAUUUACUUUUCCAUUGCUAUUGCUAUCAUCACUACAAAAUACCAAAAAUAUUACUUUUACUACUGUUACCUUUCGUUACCGUUAUCACUACGAUCAUAUUACUUUGCUGCAGAUAUUAAGUAUCCAGGUGUGGUUGAAUUGACAACUCAGCUGCUAAUACUUGAGAAUAUUCUAUGGCCCCCACUACUAGGAAAAGGGCUAUAGAUAGGAUUGACACUAAUGGUGCACCAGGGAAGUAGUGCGCCACUACUAUAUACUAAUGGCGCACUAGUUGGUGAUGCGCCAUUAGUGUGGAAGACACUUAUGGCGCACCAGAAAAUAGGUGCGCCACUAGUGAUAUUUUUUUUCAUUUUUACAUACAUACUAAUGGCGCAUCCUACCGAAGUUUGCCAUUACUAGUUCUAACUAGUAAUGGCGCACCAGACAGGGAGUGCGCCAGUACUGAAUUUUUUUUAUUCUUUUUUUUGCAAAACUACUAAUGGCGCACCGCCUCACAGUGCGCCAUUACUAGUUUAAACUACUAAUGGCGCACCCUGUAAAGUGGGCCAUUAGUAUAUUUUUUUUUACUUUUCUGCAAAAUUACUAAUGGCGCAUCACCUGUAGGUGCAACAUUAGUAACCAGGGUUACUAAUGGCGCAUUUGCAGGUGGUGCACCAUUAGUAACCUGGGACCCCAACAAGAUAUUUUGGACAGCCACACCUACCCACUCACUUUCCCCACUUCAUUCCCUCCACCUCCUUCUCCAAGCUUUCGGCUGCCUCCUCCUCACCUCAUUUCCACCAUAGAUUCAUCAAAAUUAAGUGGUGAAAUUACCUUUUUUUGAUAGGUAAGUAAGGGGAAAGCUAUCUUCAUGAUGUAGAUCUACUUUUUUUCUCCCUAGCUCACUCCAACAACGUGCACAUGCACUUUUUGUGGCCUAGCUAGAUCUAUGUAUGUUUGUGUUGUUGCAUGUGUCUGUGGUGUUGCAUAUAUGUUUGUGUUUGCAGGUACCGGUAUUUGAAAUGCGAUAGUUGCCAAUAUUUUGCCGGAAUGUUGAUUCAUUUCCGUUUCGGCGAGAAUUUUGGCACUAUGCAUUCUUUUUCGUCCUAUUUUUAGGGAAGGUCAUGCCAAAAAAUUUCUUGGUUCUAAAAUAUCGUUUUGCUCUACCCCGCAGGCGACCAUGGUCCGCACAAUGACCGAAGGCAUCGUGAAUAGGUUUUUGAGCUCCGCGAAGGCCGAGAUGCUUCAAAAGAACGAGACGGAGAUAAGAUGUCCGUGUCGAAGAUGCAAGCUGAAGAGCCUUAUUGCGGACCCGGAUUUCGGGCAGGUGCGGGACCAUCUGCUCUUGCGUGGUUUCAUGGAUCGCUAUCGGUGGCAAGGUGAUGAAGAUGACUAUGAAGUCGUCCAUGGGGGCCGGGCAAGAAAUGAGGAAGGGCAACAAGACAAGUACCACCUCGGCGAGGGUGGGCGAGAAGACGAAGAAUCUCCAGGACAUGAUCACGACGGUGAUGUUGUGCACAGUCAUCAUGUAAAAGAUGUCGUACAUGAUGAUGAGGAAGUUCAAGACGAAGGUCAUGGUCAUGAAGAUGAAGAUGCCGGAGCAGACGACGAUGGAGGCUGGGUGCAGGACCCUCAUAUUCAAGAGCUGCUUCUCAAGCAGACGGAUAACGCAAGAGCUGCCGUCCGAGAGAAAGCCAAGCUGGAUCAACUAGAGAUAGACGCGGUUACUCCAUUAUAUGAAGGAUAUAGGCCCGAGGAUACCCGCCUGAAAGUAACGCUCAUGGCUCUGGAGAUGAAGGUAAAACACAAAAUGACCGAAGCAUGCUUCAACGAGAACAUGUCAUACUGGCACGAACAUCUUCCCCAGGGGAACAAGUGCCCGACCAGUUUCGAGGAGGCGAAGAAAAUCGUGUGUCCUCUGGAUUUACCGCACGUGAAAUACCAUGUGUGCGUGAACAAUUUCAUCAUUUACCGGGACGAGCAUGCGGAGUCUACCAUAUGUCCGGUGUGCGGCGUCACUCGAUACAAGAAGAGGAAGAAAGCUCCUCGAAAAUCAGUGUGGUACUUUCCGAUCACUCCUCGUCUGCAGCGGUAUUUCACGGACCCUAAGGUAGCAAAGCUCCUGCGUUGGCACGCGGAUAGGGAGGAGAAGAAGCGGGAAGAUGACGGAAAUGAUCCGGAGAUAAAUAAAAAAGACAAGAUGUUGAGUCACCCUAAGGAUGCGAGCCAGUGGCAAGUGUUGAACUUCGAAUGCCCAGAAUUUGGAAGGAUCCAAGGAACAUCAUGCUGGGCGCGAGCACCGAUGGAGUCAAUCCGUUUGGCAGCCAGAGAAGCACACAUAGCACCUGGCCUGUGUUUGUGUGGAUGUACAACCUUCCCCCUGGUUGUGCAUGAAGAGGAAGUACAUUCACAUGAGUAUGCUAACUGAAGGGCCGAAACAACCAGGGAACGACAUCAAUCUGUAUCUGGGGCUGCUGAAAGAGGAGCUAGACACGCUGUGGAAAACACCAGCCGAUACGUGGGACGCUGCAGAGAAAGAAUAUUUCCCUAUGAGAGCCGCACUGCUCACGACGGUGCACGACUAUCUCGGUUACGGAUAUCUCACGGGGCAGGUAGUCCACGGAUUUUCUGGAUGCGUAAGGUGCAUGGAUGACACAACGUAUCGCCAGCUAGAUAGAGAUCCUGGGUCUUCGAAAACCGUGUUCAUGGGACAUCGAAGGUGGCUUCGCGACGAUGACCCGUGGAGGAAACGCAAGGAUCUGUUCGAUGGUGAAACCAAACCCCGAAAACGCCCGCGUACGAGGAGCGGCGAGAAAAUAGACGAGCUGUUGAAAAAUUGGAAAGGUUGCCCACUGCCGGGAAAGAAGCAAAAGGCGCCAGAGCCGCUGCUGAAGGUAUGGAAAACGAGGUCUGUUUUCUGAGACUUGCCGUACUGGAAGAUCCACCGUGUGCCUCACAGCCUUGAUGCCAUGCAUAUCACGAAGAACGUGUGCGAUAGUCUGCUUGGUACCCUGCUCAACAUGCCAGAGAGGACCAAAGAUGGCCGAAAGCAAGGGCAGACUUGAAAUCAAUGGGCAUCAGGCAGGAGCUUCACACUAAUGAUGAUGAUGAUGAUGAUGAGGCGAAGCAGGACACAGAAACUCGUCGCAAAGGCAAAAAGGCCAAGAAGACCAGAAGUGACUACCCUCCCGCGUGCUUCAUUCUAAGUCAGGAGGAGAUCGAGCAGUUUUUUGUUGGAAAUAUGCCCUAGAGGCAAUAAUAAAAGUGUUAUUAUUAUAUUUCCUUGUUCAUGAUAAUUGUCUUUUAUUCAUGCUAUAACUGUAUUAUCCGGAAAUCGUAAUACACGUGUGAAUACAUAGACCACAAUAUGUCCCUAGUGAGCCUCUAGUUGACUAGCUCGUUGUGAUCAACAGAUAGUCAUGGUUUCCUAGCUAUGGACAUUGGAUGUCGUUGAUAACGGGAUCACAUCAUUAGGAGAAUGAUGUGAUGGACAAGACCCAAUCCUAAGCCUAGCACAAAGAUCGUGUAGUUCGUUUGCUAGAGCUUUGCCAAUGUCAAGUAUCUCUUCCUUUGACCAUGAGAGCGUGUAACUCCUGGAUACCGUAGGAGUGCUUUGGGUGUAUCAAACAUCACAACGUAACUGGGUGACUAUAAAGGUGCACUACAGGUAUCUCCGAAAGUAUCUAUUGUUUUAUGCGGAUCGAGACUGGGAUUUGUCACUCCGUGUAAACGGAGAGGUAUCUCUGGGCCCACUCGGUAGGACAUCAUCAUAUGCGCAAUGUGACCAAGGAGUUGAUCACGGGAUGAUGUGUUACGGAACGAGUAAAGUGACUUGCCGGUAACGAGAUUGAACAAGGUAUCGGUAUACCGACGAUCGAAUCUCGGGCAAGUAACAUACCGCUAGACAAAGGGAAUUGUAUACGGGAUCGAUAGAGUCCUUGACAUCGUGGUUCAUCCGAUGAGAUCAUCGUGGAACAUGUGGGAGCCAACAUGGGUAUCCAGAUCCCGCUGUUGGUUAUUGACCGGAGAACGUCUCGGUCAUGUCUGCAUGUCUCCCGAACCCGUAGGGUCUACACACUUAAGGUUCGAUGACGCUAGGGUUAUAAAGGAAGCUUGUAUGUGGUUACCGAAUGUUGUUCGGAGUCCCGGAUGAGAUCCCGGACGUCACGAGGAGUUCCGGAAUGGUCCGGAGGUAAAGAUUUAUAUAUAGGAAGUCCUGUUUCGGCCAUCGGGACAAGUUUCGGGGUCAUCGGUAUUGUACCGGGACCACCGGAAGGGUCCCGGGGGGCCACAUGGGCUGUAGGGGGUGCGCCUUGGCCUACAUGGGCCAAGGGCACCAGCCCCAAGAGGCCCAUGCGCAAGGAAACUUGGGGAGGGAAGAGUCCUCAAAGGGGAAGGCACCUCCGAGGUGCCUUGGGGAGGAUGGACUCCUCCCCAUCCUUAGCCGCACCCCUUCCUUGGAGGAGGGGGCAAGGCUGCGCCCUCCCCCUCUCCCUUGGCCCUAUAUAUAGUGGGGAAAAGGAGGAGCAAUCAUACCUAAGGCCUUUGGUUGCCUCCCUCUCCCUCCCGUGACACAUCUCCUCUCCCGUAGGUGCUCGGCGAAGCCCUGCGGGAUUGCCACGCUCCUCCACCACCACCACGCCGUUGUGCUGCUGUUGGAUGGAGUCUUCCUCAACCUCUCCCUCUCUCCUUGCUGGAUCAAGGCGUGGGAGACGUCACCGGGCUGUACGUGUGUUGAACGCGGAGGUGCCGUCCGUUCGGCACUUGAUCAUCGGUGAUCUGAAUCACGACGAGUACGACUCCAUCAACCCCGUUCACUUGAACGCUUCCGCUUAGCGAUCUACAAGGGUAUGUAGAUGCACUCCUCCUUCUACUCGUUGCUGGUCUCUCCAUAGAUAGAUCUUGGUGUUACGUAGGAAAAUUUUUGAAUUUCUGCUACGUUCCCCAAUAGUGGCAUCAUGAGCUAGGUCUAUUGCGUAGAUUCUUUGCACGAGUAGAACACAAAGUAGUUGUGGGCGUUGAUGUUGUUCAAUAUGCUUACCGUUACUAGUCCAAUCUUGUUUCGACGGUAUUGUGGGAUGAAGCGGCCCGGACCGACCUUACACGUACUCUUACGUGAGACAGGUUCCACCGAUUGACAUGCACUUGGUGCAUAAGGUGGCUAGCGGGUGCCAGUCUCUCCCACUUUAGUCGGAACGGAUUCGAUGAAAAGGGUCCUUAUGAAGGGUAAAUAGCAAUUGGCAUAUCACGUUGUGGUUUUGCGUAGGUAAGAAACGUUCUUGCUAGAAACCCAUAGCAGCCACGUAAAACAUGCAACAACAAUUAGAGGACGUCUAACUUGUUUUUGCAGGGUAUGCUAUGUGAUGUGAUAUGGCCAAAAGGAUGUGAUGAAUGAUAUAUGUGAUGUAUGAGAUUGAUCAUGUUCUUGUAAUAGGAUUCACGACUUGCAUGUCGAUGAGUAUGACAACCGGCAGGAGCCAUAGGAGUUGUCUUUAUUUUUUGUAUGACCUGCGUGUCAUUGAAGAACGCCAUGUAACUUACUUUAUUGCUAAACGCGUUAGCCAUAGAAGUAGAAGUAGUCGUUGGCGUGACAACUUCAUGAAGACACGAUGAUGGAGAUCAUGAUGAUGGAGAUCAUGGUGUCAUGCCGGUGACGAUGAUGAUCAUGGAGCCCCGAAGAUGAAGAUCAAAAGGAGCAAAAUGAUAUUGGCCAUAUCAUGUCACUAUUUGAUUGCAUGUGAUGUUUAUCAUGUUUAUGCAUCUUGUUUACUUAGGACGACGGUAGUAAAUAAGAUGAUCCCUUACAAAAUUUCAAGAAGUGUUCUCCCCUAACUGUGCACCGUUGCUACAGUUCGUUGCUUCUAAGCACCACGUGAUGAUCGGGUGUGAUGGAUUCUUACGUUCACAUACAACGGGUGUAAGACAGUUUUACACAGCGAAAACACUUAGGGUUAACUUGACGAGCCUAGCAUGUACAGACAUGGCCUCGGAACACGGAGACCGAAAGGUCGAGCAUGAGUCGUAUAGUAGAUACGAUCAACAUGAAGAUGUUCACCGACGUUGGCUAGUCCGUCUCACGUGAUGAUCGGACACGGCCUAGUUGACUCGGAUCAUGUGAUCACUUAGAUGACCAGAGGGAUGUCUAUCUGAGUGGGAGUUCAUAAGAUGAAUUUAAUUAUCUUGAACAUAGUCAAAAGACCUUUUGCAAAUUAUGUCGUAGCUCGCGCUUUAGUUCUACUGUUUUAGAUAUGUUCCUAGAGAAAAUAUAGUUGAAAGUUGAUAGUAGCGAUUAUGCGAACAGUAGAAAGCUUAUGUCCUUAAUGCAUUGCUCAGUGUGCUGAACCCCAAACGUCGUUUGUGGAUGUUUCGAACAUCGAACAUACACGUUUUGAUAACUACGUGAUAGUUCAGUUAAAUGGUUUAAGUAGAGGCACCAAAGACGUUUUCGAAACAUCGCGGAACAUAUGAGAUGUUUCGAGGGCUGAAAUUGGGAUUUCAGGCUCGUGCUCACGUCAAGAGGUAUAAGACCUCCGACGAUUCUCUUAGCCUGCAAACUAAGGGAGAAAAUCUCAAUCGUUGAGCUUGUGCUCAGAUUGUCUGAGUGCAACAAUCACUUGAAUUGAGUGGGAGUUGAUCUUCCAAAUGAGAUAGUGAUGUUUCUCCAAAGUCAUUGCCACCGAGCUGCUAGAGCUUCGUGAUGAACUAUAACAUAUCAGGGAUAAAUAAGAUAAUCCUUGAGGUAUUCACGAUGUUUGACACCGCGAAAGUAGAAAUCAAGAAGGAGCAUCAAUUGUUGAUGGUUGGUGAAACCACUAGUUUCAAGAAGGGCAAGGGCAAGAAGGGAUACUUCAUGAAACGGCAAAUCAGCUGCUGCUCCAGUGAAGAAACCCAAGGUUGAACCCAAACCCGAGACUAAGUGCUUCUGUAAUAAGGGGAACAGUCACUAGAGCAGAAUUACCCUAGAUACUUGGUAGAUGAGAAGGCUGGCAAGGUCGAUAGAAGUAUAUUGGAUAUACAUUAUGUUAAUGUGUACUUUACUAGUACUCCUAGUAGCACCAGGGUAUAAGAUGCCGGUUCAGUUGCUAAGUGUUAGUAACUCGAAAUAAAAGCUACGGCAUAAACGGAGACUAGCUAAAGGUGAGCUGACGAUAUGUGUUGGAAGUGUUUCCAAUGUUGAUAUGAUCAAGCAUCGCACGCUCCCUCUACCAUCGAGAUUUGGUGUUUGCGUUGAGCAUAGACAUGAUUGGAUUAUGUCUAUCGCAAUACGGUUAUUCAUUUAAAGAGAAUAAUGGUUACUCUAUUUAUUUGAAUAAUACCUUCAAUGGUCUUGCACCUAAAAUGAAUGGUUCAUUGAAAUCUCGAUCGUAGUGAUACACAUGUUCAUGCCAAAAGAUAGUAAUGAUAGUACCACCUAUUUGUGGCACUGCCACGUAAGUCAUAUCGGUAUAAAAUGCAUGAAGAAGCUCCAUGUUGAUGGAUCUUUGGACUCACUCAUUUUUGAAAAAGUUUGAGACAUGUGAACCAUGUCUAUUGGUAUAUAUGCAUGAAGAAACUCCAUGCAAAUGGACCGUUCGGACUCACUUGAUUUUGAAUCACUUGAGAUAUGCAAAUCAUACCACAUAGGCAAGAUGACUGAAAAGCCUCGGUUUCAAUAAGAUGGAACAAGAUAGCAACUUGUUGGAACUAACACAUUUUGAUGUGUGCAGUCCAAUAAGUGCUGAGGCAUGCAGUGAAUAUCGUUAUGUUCUUACUUCACAGAUGAUUCGAGUAGAUGUUGAGAAUAUUUACUUGAUGAAACACAAGUCUGAAUUAUUGAAUGGUUCAAGUAAUUUCAGAGUGAAGUAGAAGAUCAUUGUGACAAGAGGAUAAAAUGUCUAUGAUACGAUCAUAGAGAUGAAUAUCUGAGUUACGAGUUUUGGCACACAAUUAAGACAUUGUGGAAAAUGUUUCACAAUUAAUACCGCCUGGAACACCAUACUGUGAUGGUGUGUCCGAACAUCAUAGUUGCACCCUAUUGGAUAUGGUGCGUACCAUGAUGUCUCUUAUUGAAUUACCACUAUCGUUCAUGGGUUAGGCAUUAGAGACAACCACAUUCACUUUAAAUAGGGCACCACGUAAUUCCGUUGAGAGGACACCAUAUGAAUUAUGGUUUAGAGAAACCUAAGUUGUCGUUUCUUAAAAGUUUGGGGCUACGACGCUUAUGUGAAAAAGUUUCAGGCUGAUAAGCUAGAACCCAAAGCGGAUAAAUGCAUCUUCAUAGGACACCCAAAACAGUUGGGUAUACCUCCUGUCUCAGAUCCAAAAGCAAUAAAGGAUUGUUUCUUGAAUCAGGUCCUUUCUCGAGGAAAGGUUUCUCUCGAAAGAAUUGAGUGGGAGGAUGGUGGAGACUUGAUGAGGUUAUUGAACCAUCACUUCAACCAGUGUGUAGCAGGGCACAGGAAGUUGUUCCUGUGGCACCUACACCAAUUGAAGUGGAAGCUUAUGAUAGUGAUCAUGAAACUUCAGAUCAAGUCACUCCCAAACCUCGUAGGAUGACAAGGAUGCGUACUACUUGAGAGUGGUACGUAAUCCUGUCUUGGAAGUCAUGUUGCUAGACAACAAUGAGCCUACGAGUUAUGGAGAAGCGAUGGUGGGCCCGGAUUCCGAUAAAUGGCUUUGGGCCAUAAAAUCCGAGAGAGGAUCCAUGUAUGAAAACAAAGUGAAGACUUUGGCAGAACGGCUCGAUGGUCGUAAGGCAAAUGAGUACGGAUGGAUUUUAAAAGGAAGACAGUCAAUGAUGGUAAGAAUUACCAUUAAGAAAGCUCGACUUGUUGUUAAGAUGUUUUCCGACAAGUUCAAGGAGUUGACUACGAUGAGAUUUUCUCACUCGUAGCGAUGCUAAGAGUCUGUUGGAAUUAUAUUAGCGAUUACUGCAUUAUUUAUGAAAUCUUGCAGAUAGGAUGUCAAAACAUUGUUUCCUCGACGAUUUUCUUGAGGAAAGGUUGUAUGUGAUACAACCGGAAGGUUUUGUCAAUCCCGAAAGAUGCUAAUAAGUAUGCAAAGCUCCAGCAAUCCUUCUAAGGACUGGAGUGAGCAUCUCGGAGUUGGAAUGUAUGAUUUGAUGAUGAUCAAAUAUUUUGGGUUUGUACAAAGUUUAUGAGAAACUUGUAUUUCCAAAGAAGUGAGUGGAAGCACUAUAGAAUUUCUGAUGAAUAUAUGUUGAUCAGAAACGAUGUAGAAUUUCUAGAAAGCAUAUAGGGUUAUUUGAAAGGUGUUUUUCAAUAGAAAACCUGGAUUAAGCUACUUGAACAUUGAGCAUCAAGAUCUAUAAGGAUAGAUCAAAAUGCUUAAUAGAACUUUCAAAUGAGCACAUACCUUGACAUGAUCUUGAAGGUGUUCAAGAUGGAUCAGUCAAAGAAGAAGUUCUUGCCUGAGUUGUAAGGUACGAAGUUAAGACUUAAAGCUCGACCUCGGCAGAAUAGAGAGAAAGGACGAAGGUCGUCCCCUAUGCUUAAGACAUAGGCUCUACAGUAUGCCAUGCUGAGUAUCGCACCUGAAGUGUGCCUUGCCAUGAGUCAGUCAAGGGGUACAAGAGUGAUCCAUGAAUGGAUCACAGACAGCGGUCAAAGUUAUCCUUGGUAACUAGUGGACUAAGGAAUUUUCUCGAUUAUGGAGGUGGUAAAAGAGUUCGUCGUAAAGGUUACGUCGAUGCAAGCUUAACACCUAUCUGGAUAGCUCUAAGAAGAGAUACCGGAUACGUAUUAGGGGGCAACAAAUUAGAAUAGCUCCAAGUAGAACAGUUAUUUGGAAUAGCUCCAAAUAGAGCGUGGUAGCUACAUCUAGGAGAUGACAUAGAGAUUUGUAAAGCACACACGGAUCUGAAAGGUUCGGACCCGUUGACUAAAACCUCUCUCACAACCAACAUGAUCAAACCUAAAACUCUUGGGUAUUAGUCACAUGGCGAUGUGACCUGUGAGUGUUAAUCACAUGGCGAUGUGAACUAGAUUAUUGACUCUAGUGCAAGUGGGAGACUGUUGGAAAUAUGCCCUAGAGGCAAUAAUAAAAGUGUUAUUAUUAUAUUUCCUUGUUCAUGAUAAUUGUCUUUUAUUCAUGCUAUAACUGUAUUAUCCGGAAAUCGUAAUACACGUGUGAAUACAUAGACCACAAUAUGUCCCUAGUGAGCCUCUAGUUGACUAGCUCGUUGUGAUCAACAGAUAGUCAUGGUUUCCUGGCUAUGGACAUUGGAUGUCGUUGAUAACGGGAUCACAUCAUUAGGAGAAUGAUGUGAUGGACAAGACCCAAUCCUAAGCCUAGCACAAAGAUCGUGUAGUUCGUUUGCUAGAGCUUUGCCAAUGUCAAGUAUCUCUUCCUUUGACCAUGAGAGCGUGUAACUCCUGGAUACCGUAGGAGUGUGUUGGGUGUAUCAAACGUCACAACGUAACUGGGUGACUAUAAAGGUGCACUACAGGUAUCUCCGAAAGUAUCUAUUGUUUUAUGCGGAUCGAGACUGGGAUUUGUCACUCCGUGUAAACGGAGAGGUAUCUCUGGGCCCACUCGGUAGGACAUCAUCAUAUGCGCAAUGUGACCAAGGAGUUGAUCACGGGAUGAUGUGUUACGGAACGAGUAAAGUGACUUGCCGGUAACGAGAUUGAACAAGGUAUUGGAUACCGACGAUCGAAUCUCGGGCAAGUAACAUACCGAUAGACAAAGGGAAUUGAAUACGGGAUUGAUUAAGUCCUUGACAUCGUGGUUCAUCCGAUGAGAUCAUCGUGGAACAUGUGGGAGCCAUCAUGGGUAUCCAGAUCCCGCUGUUGGUUAUUGACCGGAGAACGUCUCGGUCAUGUCUGCAUGUCUCCCGAACCCGUAGGGUCUACACACUUAAGGUUCGAUGACGCUAGGGUUAUAAAGGAAGUUUGUAUGUGGUUACCGAAUGUUGUUCGGAGUCCCGGAUGAGAUCCCGGACGUCACGAGGAGUUCCGGAAUGGUCCGGAGGUAAAGAUUUAUAUAUGGGAAGUCCUAUUUUGGCCACCGGAAAAUGUUCGGGAUUUUUCGGUAUUGUACCGGGAAGGUUCUAGAAGGUUCCGGAGUGGGGCCCACCUGCAUGGGGGGACCCACAUGGGCGUGGGUAGUGGGGGCAAGGCCCCACACCCCUGGUCAAGGCGCACCAAGAUCCCCCCUUAGAAGGAAUAAGAUCAUAUCCCGAAGGGAUAAGAUCAAGAUCCCUAAAAAGGGGGGGUAACAAUCGGUGGGGAAGGAAAUAAUGAGAUUUCUUUCCUCCCACCUUGGCCAACGCCCCAAUGGACUUGGAGGGCAAGAAACCAGCCCCUCCACCCAUAUAUAUAGUGGGGAGGCGCAUGGGAGCUAUAGACGAAGUUCUGGCGCAGCCCUCCCCCUCUCCCAAGUCGUCCUCCUCUCCCGUGGUGCUUGGCGAAGCCCUGCUGGAUUGCCACGCUCCUCCAUCACCACCACGCCGUUGUGCUGCUGUUGGAUGGAGUCUUCCUCAACCUCUCCCUCUCUCCUUGCUGGAUCAAGGCGUGGGAGACGUCACCGGGCUGUACGUGUGUUGAACGCGGAGGUGCCGUGCGUUCGGCACUUGAUCAUCGAUGAUUUGAAUCACGACGAGUACGACUCCUUCAACACCGUUCUCUUGAACGCUUCCGCUUAGCGAUCUACAAGGGUAUGUAGAUGCACUCUCCUUCCCCUCGUUGCUGGUUUCUCCAUAGAUAGAUCUUGGUGACACGUAGGAAAAUUUUGAAUUUCUGCUACGUUCCCCAACAUUUUUCACCUGCCUCGUAGGAGUAAAACUUCCUUACGGUUACGCGGGGAAGAUAAGCAGAUACCUAGACCCAGUGAAGUAGAAGUUCAGCGGGAUGAAGUCUCACGACUGUCACGUGCUGAUGACGCAGAUACUUCCAGUUGCAAUCCGUGGGAUCAUGGACGCGCACGUCCGUGAAACGCUAUUUGGCCUAUGCAACUUUUUCAACGUCAUCUCUCGGAAGUCGAUUGGCGUGAGGCAACUCAGAAGCCUACAGGAAGAGAUCGUGGUGAUACUAUGCGAGCUUGAGAUGUACUUCCCGCCCGCAUUCUUCGAUGUUAUGGUGCAUCUGCUGGUCCAUAUCGUGGAGGAUAUCAUCCAACUCGGGCCGUCGUUCCUGCACGGCAUGAUGCCGUUCGAAAGGAUGAAUGGUGUCAUCAAAGGAUACGUUCGCAACAUGUCACGUCCAGAGGGAAGUAUAGCCAGGGGCUUUCUGACCGAAGAGUGCAUCUCCUACUGCACGAAUUAUCUAGGCAUCGAGAACCCCAUUGGUUUGCCCGUCAACAGGCACCUCGGCAGGCUCACUGGAUGGGUUCACCGUGAGGGUCGCCGCGAAAUGCAUGUCGACUUCGAGGGUCGACUCACCGACUUUGAAAGAGCAAACCUAGUCGCGCUACAACACAUAGACGUGGUCGAUCCUUGGGUGGUAGAGCACAAAACCUUUAUUGAGAAGACGUACAAUGACUGAGGCCAACAGAGGACGGACAGAGAUAUAAUCAAAGAGCACAACUCAUGUUUCACGCGUUGGUUCAAGUAGAAGCUUCUGUCGUACCCUUUACAUGAGGAUUCUUCCGCGGAAGAACAACUCAUAUUCGCCUUGUCACAGGGCGCCGAGCACAACCUGAUGACCUAUGAGGCGUAUGAUAUCAAUGGCUACACAUUCUACACCGAGAACAAGGACAUGAAGAGCGAUGGUUAUCAGAACUCCGGGGUAACGAUGGAAUCCUACACCGGUAAUGACAAGGAUAGAUACUACGGAAGGAUCGAGGAGAUCUGGGAGCUAAGCUACGCUGGGGAGAAGGUCCCGAUGUUCCGUGUCAGAUGGGCCAAGAGUAUCCUAAAAGAAGACCGGUAUUUCACCACCAUGGUUAUACCCGAAGCCAAAUCCAAGACCGCGGGCGCAAAUGUCACCGCGAAAAAUGAGCCAUGGGUACUGGCUUCCCAAGUGGACCAAUGCUUCUACAUUACCGACCCGUCAAAGCCCAGUCGUGUUGUCAUGAGGAGAGGCAAAAGGAAGAUCAUCGGAAUGGAUGGAGUAGCCAAUGAGCAAGACUUCGACAAGUACGGCGACCCGAAGAUUGAACAUGACGACGACGAUGAAGUAGGAGCACACACCACAAGAAGAAGCAGGACCACCCUACCUAAAGGACGUCCGUUCCACAGAAGAACUCCAUUCGCGAAAAAGAAGGGCAAGAAGAUUGUGAACAGAUAGCUAGCUAAGAUCGAUUGUAUUUAAAUCGUAGUCUUCAUUUCUCGAUUGUAUUUCAUGGGCACUUUUUGAUAUCAUGAAUAUUUUUAAAUUUCACGGGCACUUUUUGAAUUCAUGAGGACGCUCGAUCUCGAUCCCCCUCCACCGCCGCCGACGAGCACCCGGCCCCCCGCACCCUCCCCCGCUCCACCGCCGCCGCCGAUGAUAUUUUCAAGUAACAAAUUUGAACAUAUUUUUUAAAAAAUUCUUACUAUUUUUAUAAAAAAAUAUUACUGUUAUGAUUUAAACAAGUUUGAACAUAUUUAAACACAAAUUAAUAUCAAACAACAUUUAAAAUGCAAAAAAAUAUUGCGAAGCCUGGGAAUCGAACCCAGGACCUCUUGGUGUGUGUGCUGCGAGCUGACCAGUCGGGCUAAUGGGCAAUUUCUGAUGUGGAUUGGGUUAGGUGCAAUAUAACCUGUGCUCGAACUGUAAUAAAAAAACAUUCUAAUGCCGCACCGCUGCGGGGUGCGCCAUUGCUAUCUAAAAAAAGAUUUCUAAUGGCGCACCGAGGUGUGGUGCGCCAUUAGUAAGUUUCCCCCUAGCUAUCCUCCCUCUCCCUCGCCAGAUCCCCUUCGACCCUCUCUCCCUCGCCACCAGAUCCACCCGCGCGCUGCCCCGACCCACGAAGCCGCCGCCCCGACCCUCAUCGGACUCCACCCCCGCCGCCCCCGCGCCCCCGCGCCCCUNNNNNNNNNNNNNNNNNNNNNNNNNNNNNNNNNNNNNNNNNNNNNNNNNNNNNNNNNNNNNNNNNNNNNNNNNNNNNNNNNNNNNNNNNNNNNNNNNNNNNNNNNNNNNNNNNNNNNNNNNNNNNNNNNNNNNNNNNNNNNNNNNNNNNNNNNNNNNNNNNNNNNNNNNNNNNNNNNNNNNNNNNNNNNNNNNNNNNNNNNNNNNNNNNNNNNNNNNNNNNNNNNNNNNNNNNNNNNNNNNNNNNNNNNNNNNNNNNNNNNNNNNNNNNNNNNNNNNNNNNNNNNNNNNNNNNNNNNNNNNNNNNNNNNNNNNNNNNNNNNNNNNNNNNNNNNNNNNNNNNNNNNNNNNNNNNNNNNNNNNNNNNNNNNNNNNNNNNNNNNNNNNNNNNNNNNNNNNNNNNNNNNNNNNNNNNNNNNNNNNNNNNNNNNNNNNNNNNNNNNNNNNNNNNNNNNNNNNNNNNNNNNNNNNNNNNNNNNNNNNNNNNNNNNNNNNNNNNNNNNNNNNNNNNNNNNNNNNNNNNNNNNNNNNNNNNNNNNNNNNNNNNNNNNNNNNNNNNNNNNNNNNNNNNNNNNNNNNNNNNNNNNNNNNNNNNNNNNNNNNNNNNNNNNNNNNNNNNNNNNNNNNNNNNNNNNNGCCGAGCAGCGACGCAGCACCGUACGCCCCCCGACCCUCCUCCUCCCCUUGCCCCCCGCCUGCGCAGCUGACGGCCCCUUCUCUGUCUCGCAGGGCAAGGUCUCCGGUGCCUCUACGACACCGACGCCUCCACCGUCUACGGCAUCUGCGCCUUCUUCCACCUCCGGCCACCGUGGCCUCACCGUAUGUGGAGGUAUCUGCUCCUAAGAUCUCUGCGUCCCGGUCCCCUUGGCCCUCCCGGUUCUUCUCCACUAAGGUGCGUUUCUCCAUGCCCCUGUCUCCGCCGUUCCAGGGCUUAAUAGAUCUCCUAUGAUAUACGACUUGUUUAUGAAGAUUUUGAUGUGUUAUGCCUUGUUCUUGUCCCUACAUUUGCACCCUUCCAGGGCUUAACUUGCUUAUGAAUACAUCUCCCAUUGAUUUUGAUGUAGUUUUAGAGUGGCUAGUAUGUAUGUAGUGGAGCUAGCAGUAGCAGCUGCAUCUACGACACCUUCUUUGCUGUUCAGCUGUGUCAAACAAAAUUCCAAUGGCCAACUCAUAUGCCCUGCAAUUUGCUCAUGAUUAUUAUUUAUCUCACAUCACCUUCUCCUCUUUGCUUGCCAUGCACUCCCAGCUCCGUCAUCGCGACCGCGUAAUAGUCCGUGGGUGAUACAACAUGCUCAAAUUCAGUAAUUAAUCAGUAUAUAUAUACCAUAAGAGAAGUCUCAAAGAUUGGGACUAUCUUGCCUUAUGUUUCAAACUUUGAACUAUAUACAUGACUUCUAUUUUAUUUUUGAAAUUCACAGAGUUAGGACUAUCGUGUGGAUGAUGCUAAACAGAGAUAGGAGUAGUAGUGGUGGCCAUCUAGUUGGACUACUACUGCUAGGACUUGCUCCAGAUUUUAGGAUUUCUUUUCUUUUAGGAUUUAUUUUCUUCUAGGACUAGGUUUUUAUUAUUUUUCUGUUGUGAUUGUUUUUUGAGCUCUUUCUUUUUCAUUUCCUACUAUCCUUAUCCUAAUUAUCUUAAAUUGUUAUGAUGUGUGUAAUAGGAUUAGAUCUUGGAUUUGCUAGUGGACUUUGGGAGUUUCUUAGCCAGCUUGGUGACUCCAUAUUUUUCACUAUUUCAGCAAGUCUUUUGUAAGCAUAAAACUUUCAGCACUACAUUUCUAUCUUAUGUGUACAUCUGUUUGCUUCCAAUUGCUAUAUAUGUAUUGUUGUUACUAAAAAUGAUGAAGCUCCUGUCAAUUGCUAUACAUAUAUAUGUGAAUGAUGAUCCUCCUUUCCUGCAGUAGUAUAACUAGGAUAUAAAGCACAUUGAACUAACAAUCUUGUAUGGUGCCUAAACUACAAUGAUUCAAGAACAUCAGAUGACAUAGCAUGUGGAUAUUGACAUAGGAUGAGUAGAUUAAUAAGUGAGCCAAAAGUGAUGGACAAACCUCAUGCUAGGAAUUCUCGAGGGUUGCAGUACAUGGAAUGCAUUUGCAAAUGCAGCCAAAACCUGAUAUAUACCAAAAAAAUUGUAUAGAAAUAUGCUGAAUGUUCUGCUCUGAUUGUUGCUCAAAGAAAUUUAGCAAAAAAAUGGGGUCCUGGGAGACGCCGCUGCUGCUUGAGGCCCUUGAGAGGCCCUUCGUGUCAUGAUGAUUUUGCAGGUACCCCGAGAGGCCCUUGAGUUUGCCGGAAUGUCGAUUAACUUCCGUUCCGGCAAAUUCGGGUACUCCAUAUGUCCUAUUUUUAGCAAAGGUCAUGCUGAAAUUUUCCGUGAAUUUUAGCAUGACUUUGCUAAAAAUCGGACAUAUGAGGUACUUGCUACUAAUGCAUGGGCCGGGGUAUCUUAGUACUUAAUUAAGUAGGAUCAACUGCCCCUUUAUUCUUGCUGCAUUAAACCAUAGGUGGCAAUAGAGCCAAGUGAUUAGGCCCAACUUAGAAAUUCUCCUCAGCAUCGAUAAACCCUAGAUGAUAAACCCAACAUAGGUGGCAAUAGAGCCAACUGAUUAGUGCCAAGUGAUUAGGCCCAACCUAGGGUGCCUCGGCAUCGAUAAACCCUCAAUGAUGAAAACUUAGCAUUUAGGGUGCCUCAGCGUCGACAAACCCUAAAUGAUGAAACCUUGGCUUUUAGGGUGCCUCGGUGUCGAUGAGAACCUAAAUGAUGUACGCUUAGGCUUUUAGGGUGCCUCGGCGUCGACAAACCCUAAAUGAUAAAAGCUUAGCUUUUAGGAUGCCUCGGUGUCGACAAACCCAAAAUGAUGAGACCAUGAUCUUGUUCCUUGACAAUAACCAACUUUUUACCAAACUUUUUUCCUAUUUAGAGUGAAACAUGGCCCACAACGAUGAGGCCGGUGGCUCGGGCGACAAGCAAUUCUGGGAGCUGUACCAGGAGUUGGAGGAAGAACCUCACCGGUAUGAGGACGCCGCGGAAGAAACCAAUCCUGACUACACAACCCCUAGUGGCGUCGGGGAUGACACCACUGAUGAUGGCGCCGCGGAUGCCACCACUGAUGAUGGCGGCGCACGCAUAGAUGGCAGCCAACUGAAGAGGCAACAGAAGGACCAGCGCCCAGACGUGCUCAGCACCGUCAGGGAGGAAUUUACUGAAGUGAACUCCGACGGGCAUCUGACGGCGCCCAAACACGUAGUCAAGGGGUACUCGAUUCAGCUUGGGUGCGUUCUCCGGAGCACCGCCUCGAUCAACACCGAGAACCUAAGGCAUAAGGACCGAGGGAAUUUGCGCAGCCUCCUCUUCACGAAGCUGCACGAACGAUACAAGUUCCCCGCUGAGUUCGCAAACACACGCCUCCCGGGUAAUAAAGUGAAUGGUGCCGCCCUCACGAUGAUCAGCACGGCCCUGUCUACUUGGAAAAGCACGGUCAAGGUAAUGAUUGACAAAGGUGAUAGUUAUGAGAAGAUCAAGGCGAAAUAUCCUUUGAUGAGCGAAGAUGACUACAAGGAGUUCAAGAUCAAGUGCGAGAGCCCCGCAACCUCCGAAUCAAGUUGGGCGAAAGAAAUGCGGCAGUUGAACAUAGGGGUCCACCAACUCGGUCCCGGCGGUUACAGAGUGGCGGAGCCUGUAUGGGACAAGGAGGACGCGGAGCAUGCCGAGCAAGGCCUACUGCCCCACUUCGAGAAAUAUCAUGACAAGCAGACAAGAACUUUUUCAGGGCCCGGUACAAGGAGGACCCGGUAACAAAGGAGCUUACCACGGAUCCGAAGACCAAGGAGCUUGAGCUUGUUCUGGUAAGGAAUACACCCCCACGUAAUUAGCUCCAUAUGGUUGCAUUCUAAUUAAUCCCCAAUAUUUCUAAAUGGUUCACAUUCCUUCCGCAGGACAAAUAAAGCAGUAGCUCGGGGUCGUCUUAGAGCUACCCUUUCGACACCCCUUUGAAUAGGGCAUUGAACGUAAUGAAAAACAGGGAUAAGCUCAAUAAGCCGACGUCAGCUGGUCGUGUGGCCGGCAAAGGCUUGUCCACAAAAUGGUUGUCAUACUAUGGCGCUGGUGGGCGAAAGAAGAAAAAGACCAGCUCAGAAAAGCCAGUCGCGCGAGGUUGAAGCACUCAAGGCGCAAGUGGCACGGAUUCCGAAGAUGGUCCAAGAGCAAGUGCAACAACAACUGGGAUCGACGCUUACCGGUAUUAUGCCUACCUUGAUUCAUGGGAUAACGACGUGGAUUGCGGGUGGCCAACAAGGGCCGCCCCCGAUUCCCAGCUUCACGGCCAGCAACUCACACAACGCGCAGGCAGCACCAUUGAUGUCUCCGGCGGCGGCGGUAUUGGUGUCUACGGCGGCGGCGCCAGUGGUGUCUCUGGCGGCGGCGGUAUUGGUGUCUCCGAUGCCGGCAUUGGAGCUUAAUGCACCCGGGUGUACGCCGGCCGGCACCUCGCCAGCAAGCGGCCCCUCCGUUAGUUGCACGCCCGCUGUUGGCGGUGCCUCGACAUUAGCCGAGCUCGACGGCAUGACGAUAACUAAGCCUCUCGGUCGAGGACUUCAUCUCCUUGCCUUUGACUGGGCAUCCCUGACGCCCUACAUGUUUUCGCAGGGCGCCACCAACGUUCCUUGCACUCUCCUGCACUUCGUGGGCGGCGAGUUGGUCGAUGUCGCCAAGGGCAGAAUCGUUCAACUGGGCAACCCCGUGUUCCACGGUAAUCCGAUGCCACCCACAAUGUAUAGGGUUGAAGUGGUUCGGGUGCUGCUAGGCUGCGACGAGCUGUUACCUCCGAUUCGACCCGCUGGGGCCGACGAAGAAGAUGAGAUGACCCUCAAUGCCUGCGUAAGCUGGCCCUUGCUUUGGCCGAAGAGCCAGAUUCGUUUGGGGGCGGGGGACACCACCCCACAGACAAGACCGCCAGUCGUGUCGGCGCCAAGCCAUGGCAAGAACGCCGCAACGCUACCGGACAUGCCGGACAUCCCUAUGGCACAGGAUUUGGACAUGCAUAUGGCACAGGAUCCGGAUGACGACGACAACGACGAUGGUACAUUUACCAACGUCGAUAAGUACUUUGUCGAACAUGGGUACGGUGACGAGUUCCAUGGGCCUCCUUCUCAAGAACCCAAACAAGACGACCGCGAUCUAGCUGGUACGGCGGAGAAACCAAAUUGCAACAGGCGUCGUCUGGCGUUCAGUUCUCAGGAGACGCCUCCAGCUGCCGCCUUCACCGAGCCUCAGAUAGCGGAGGUGCCAAAUAUUAGCAGCCCCAACACGCUCAAGAAGGCGGUCUGUGAGCAGAACUCGGUCCCAUUACAGCAGAUCAAGAAGAAUGGCCGGAAACGGCAGACUAAAAAGGCCGCCGGUGCGAGCCAGCCGGCACCGAGUACGAUCCGUGCUCAGGACGGGCCACCUUCACCUAAGGAUAUCUCUAGGAGGGUGCAUGUGGCGGCUAGGGCGAUGCUACCGACAAAUAUGCUCAAUGCUGCAACCGGUGCUAUGCGGAGUCUGCACGACAGUGUUCUUUCUUUGGAGAAGCGGCGUCUCAGAGAGAAUGAUGUGGCAUACCCGGUUUUCGUGGCCAAGGUGCCAGAGGGCAAGGGCUUUGUGGAUGGCGCCAUCGGGGGUACGAUCGUCCUGCAGUUUGAUGACAUCUUUGCUAUGUUCAACCUUCAUCCGCUGCACUACACCUUCGUUCAGCUGUUUUCGCUGAGUAUGGAGAUGGGUAUCAUUAGAGACAAGACCCCGGACAUCAUGAUCGUCGACCCCUUCUACAUGCGUGCGAAGCUCUUGAGCAGCGCUGGGGACCGCCAAGUCGCGAGUUCACACCUCGAAGAUGUCAUUCUAGCAAAUCCAGAUAAGGAUAACUUCCUUGUGCCUUACUUUCCCGAGUAAGUCAUCCCUUAACUGCCCCGUAACAUAUGAUUUCUUAGAUUUCGAUCGUUCUUUUUUUUCUAACAUUCCGUGUUCUGUGCAGUGACACACAUUGCACACUCAUCCUCUUAAGCCCGAAAUAUUCCAUGGCCACGUAUUUCGACCCGAACCGUAACUCCAAGAUAGACUACACAAAUAUCUAGAAAGUUCUUGAUGAUGUUCUCCCUGGCUACGCCAAAUCUGGAGGCACCUUCAUCAGGGCAGUUCGUAAGUACGGCAAGCACGUGUUCGCCCAGAAUACGAUGUUCUCCUGUGUCAAGCAGCCGCCUGGCGGUCAGAAGGAUGCCUACUAUGCCCUCCAUCACAUGCGGGCGAUCGUAAGGGACCAUCAUCACCUUUUGCUACCAAAUAAUCUCAAAGAUUGGGCCGCGAGCUUGUCGUCAAUCUAGGACGCGGACAUCAGACAAGAAUUCUUUCGCAUCCAGUCGGAGUUUGCGGACAUCAUCCAUCAAGAUGUCCUUCAUACCUCGGGGCAGUUCUUCCUCAGAUAUCAACCGUCCAACAUUGAGAUAGACGGAAUGCUAGAAAUGCAGGCUGACAACGCCCACGAUUUCAUGACCAUCACGACAGACGGCGGCUUCAUCCACGCUCCUGUCCAUGAGUCGAGUCGAAAGUAGUGAUGUGUAGUUCCGAAACAUUGAUUGGCUCAUGUUGUAAUUAAACUUUAAUGAAUUGUAUGUCUCUUUGAUUUGGACAAUCGUUCAACUUAGAUGUAAUCGAUGUUAUUUAUUAGUAGGACCAUGAAUCGUGCUAUUACUGUCUUGCUUUUCUCUUCUGAUCCUUUUGUUGCAUACUUAUAUAUUGCUUAUGUAUGUAUUGUCUGUUGUUUGGCUUGUGCAUAGAGAUGCCGUCGUAUGUCGUGUACAAGGGUAAGGUUCCCGGAGUCUACGACGACUGGGAGGAGUGUCGGAGACAGGUUCACCGUUUCAGCGGUAACAGUUACAAAGGGUACACCACUAGGGGGGAGGCCGAAUCUAGAUACGCCCGCUAUCUAGCGAGAGAGAGGAGGGAGCGUUGGAGGAACCGGAUGAAGACCAGUUUGAUCGCGAUGAUGCUCAUCGUGAUGACCGCAGCUCUCUUCUAUGUGAUGGUAGUUUAGAUGAUUGAUAUCGACUUGUAAUGUGAAGACAAACUUGAUACUCGCGGUCUCAAGACUUGUAAUGUUUUAUCUUUGUUCGGUCUUUUGAAUUCGAAGACUAAUAUGAUGAAUUGUAUUCGGAGACUAAUCUUCUAUUGUAUUCGAUGAAUCUGCUGUUGCUGUGUGCUACUGUCUAUAUUCUGUCAAAUAAUAUAUUUUGUAACCUGUGCAAAAAUCAGAAAAGUAAAAAAAAACCAAAUAUUCAUACUAAUGGUGCAUCACCACAAGGUGCGCCAUUAGUAUGCCAAAGGAUACUAAUGGCGCAUCAAGACAGAGUGCGCCAUUAGUAUGACAAAGCAGAUGGUUACAUAUGGCCCCCCGGGAGGCAUACUAAUGGCGCAUGGUGUUACAUACUAAUGGCGCACUUCCUGUUGCGCCAUUAGCAUACCAGAUACUAAUGGCGCACCAGUGGUGCGCCAUUAGUAAAAAAAUCUAGUGGCGUGAUACUAAUGGUGCACCGGUAGUGUGCCAUUAGUAGGCAAUACCAGUGCGCCAUUAGUAGGCCAUUUCCUAGUAGUGCCCCUUGUGUCGAAUCAAUAAAUUUGGGUUGAAUACUCUACCCUCGAAUCUUUUGUGAUCCCCUAUACUUGUGGGUUAUCACAUAACAUAUAUCUAAAUUGAUGUGCUUGUCCUUUUCAUAAAUUUGUGAUGGCUUAUUUUUGUAACCACCGAAAUCUGAUAAUACAUAUUUUUGUGUGGUGAUGGCAGCCUGGUCAUUUGUUACGCAGUUCCUCUCGAUGAUCGAUUCAGCUUAUGGUAGUUCUAUAUUAAUUGACCUCAAACACCGGGGGAAAUGUGAAGUCGAUGCAUUGUAUAUUUUUGUGUGCUAGAUCGAGGGCUUCAAGAUAGAACUUGUUGUGAAUCUUCUAGUAUCUGUGUGAAUUCUUAUAUGUUGAUUCUUGUUGACUCUUGUCCCUUAUCGAUCGUUUGCAACUUAACUUUAGAAUCUCAUGCGUGUGGUAAUGGACUUACAGGUUCCAUCACAGAUGCCAUCGACGGUGGGCAUACAUGCUGUGGUGGAAGCUCAUUGCAUCUUUUAGGUUCAUGCUUAGUGUGAACUUGGAAGUCAUGCUUUCGUUUGUGAACUCUUGUUGCAUAUGUAAGGAUGUUGUUGUGAACCUUUGUUGGAUAUGUAUGCAUGUGUGAACUUGGAAUGUAUGCAUGCAUGGACAUUGAACUAAUGGUCGGUUUGUUAUGUUGUCAAGUUGUAAUAUAUUGUUGAUG
This 25522-nucleotide long non-coding RNA is filed under the name Triticum aestivum (bread wheat). RNAcentral describes it as "long non-coding RNA (TAES_LNC001838)". Lineage: Eukaryota; Viridiplantae; Streptophyta; Magnoliopsida; Poales; Poaceae. The record is from RNAcentral.